Molecule: long non-coding RNA, 11883 nt
Filed under: Ananas comosus (pineapple)
Lineage: Eukaryota; Viridiplantae; Streptophyta; Magnoliopsida; Poales; Bromeliaceae
Description: long non-coding RNA (ACOM_LNC024520)
Source: RNAcentral
AUAUAUAUAUAUAUAUAUAUAUCUUAAUCCAAUGAUAUGAUAGAUAUCAUGCCCUCGAGGGCAUGAUAUCUAUCAUAUCAUUGGAUUAAGAUAUAUAUAUAUAUAUAUAUAUCUUAAUCCAAUGAUAUGAUAGAUAUCAUGCCCUCGAGGGCAUGAUAUCACAACAAAAGCUAGAAUCCCGUAAGUUUAGUUGCUAGCUGUGGCAAUUUAUACUAGAUCCCAUAUACUUCAAGAAUCCUUAUUUUAAAAUCAAAAAAAGUUAUAGCAAAUGAAUCAUUUAUUUAAUACAGUUUUACCUGCCAUCCUUAACUUAUGAGAAAUUUUAAACUCGUAUCCUGAAAAUUUAAGUUCUAGUUCUUACAAUUGGAAUUAGAUAUAUCAAAUUUCUUAAAAGAUAGUUUUAAACUUCUUUAAAUCUAAGAAGAUGUGGCAAUUUGAGGUUUGAGCAGUAUUAUCGGUAACUUUAAACUGUUAAAACUUUAUAAAACUAGUAUUUCAUUUGAUACAGCUUUUUUAUAUUUUAAAAUAAAGAUUUUUGAAAUUUAUGGGAUCUAGUUAAAAUUGCCACACCUAGUAACUAAACUUGCGGGCUUCUAGCUUUUGUUGUGAUAUCAUGCCCUCGAGGGCAUGAUAUCUAUCAUAUCAUCGGCCUGAGAUAUAUGUUCAUAGUGGGUUCACUAUGAACACACAAAAAUCGGUAACCUAGAUGAAAAAAUAAUGAUUCUCAGGAACCUAGUUUGUGAUAAGGUGGAUGGUGGUGGAUGGUGGUAGUAGAGUUGGAGUGUAGAGAGGUAGGUUCCCGAUUUUUGUGUGUUCAUAGUAAACCCACUAUGAAAAUGUUCAUAAGAUCGGGAUGAGAUAUAUAUAUAUAUAUAUAUUAAUCCGACCUUAUGAUAAUUAACAUUUUGCGAGAAAAAUGAUAGUUCAAAAAUUGGAAACCUACUUUUUAAUAUCCCAGUCCUACUAUAAUCAGCCAAUCUCAACUUACCAGGGGGAUCCUAACUCACCAGGGGUGACCCAAUAUCAUAAAUUAGGUUACUAAUCUUUAUUACUUUUCUCAACUAGGUUUCCGAUUUUUUGACCAUCGUUGUUAUCUUAAAACGAUGAUUAUCAUCGGGUCAGGCUGAUAUAUAUAUAUAUCUCUCUCUCAACUCGAUCUUAUGAGAGCUAUCAUUUGCCUCGCAAAAUGAUAGCUCAACAAAAGCUACUAUUUCGAAGGUUUAACUGCUAGCCGAGGCAAUUUAUACUAGAUUUGGUAAAUUUGAUGGAUCUUUAUUUUUAAGUACGUGAAAGCUAUAACAAGAAAAUAGGUAGAUCACUUGUCUUUUACUUACCAACUUUUACUUAUAAGAAAUUUUUUACUACUAUCCUCAGAACAUUAGUUCUAGUUCUCAUAUCUAGAACAAAAUUUAUCAAAUUUCUUAAAAGAUUGUUUUUAAGUUAACUAAACCUAUAGAAAUGUGGCAAUUUGCUCUUUUGUAGAGAAUAGGUCGUAAUUUUAAUAUUUAAAACUUUGGGAAACUAGUAAUCCGUUUACUACAGCUUUUCUAAACUUUAAACUAAAGAUUUGUGAAAUUCACCAUAUCUAGUACAAUUUGCCUCGGCUAGCAGUUAAACCUUCGAGAUAGUAGCUUUUGUUGAGCUAUCAUUUUACGGGGCAACUGAUAGCUCUCAUAAGGUCGAGUUGAGAUAUAUAUAUAUAUAUAUAUAUAUAUCUCAUCCCGAUGAUAUGAAAAUACUCAUAUCUCAGGAAGCAUGAGUAUUCAACAAAAGCUACAAGCCUGAAGGCUUAGCUGCUAGGUGUGGCAAUUUGUACUAGAUCUCAUAAACUUUGAAGAUCUUUUAUUUAAAGCAUUGAAAAACUUUAGUAAUAUAUCAGGUAGUUCGCCUAUAUUUUACUUGCCAGUUUUAGCUUGCUGCAGGAUUUUUACCUACUAGCCUACGAAGUUAAAUUCUAGCCCCAAUAACUAGAAAUAGAUCCAUUACUUAUCUUAAAAGAUAGUUUUUAAGUUCGAUAAGGCUAAAAAAAUGUGGCAAUUUGAUCGUUCAUAGUGUAUGGCCGGCAAUUUUUAACAGUUAAAACACUCGAUAACUAGCAUUCCAUUUACUAUAGCUUUUUAAUAUUUUAAAUUAAAGAUCUUCAAAAUUUACGGGAGNAAGAACAAUAUCGAAAGUGCGUGAAAUUUGAUUUCUAGGUAGUUUAAAUGGUUUAGAUCAUAUUUAAUGGAGCCGAUCGUCAAUUUGGAAGCUCUAUCAUCGAAAACAACUCGAUAGUAAAACGCUCCGUUUACUAUCGAGAGUAUUCUAGCUCAACUCUAUAUAUAUAUAUAUAUAUAUAUAUAUAUAUAUAUAUAAUGAUAAUUAUUGUGGAUAAUUCUGCUUCACAUAUUGAAUUGACCAAAAUUAAUUAUGUAUAAUUUUUUUUGGCGUAAUGGGAUAAAGGUUGCCCUUAGAAACAGGCCCACUGAUGUUCUAUUGGUUGAUGACGCUAGAAACCUCUAGGGUCUUGUUUGUCUCGCAUGUGGUCUUGUCAUUAAAAGAAGCAUUUGACUCCGAACUUUGACUCUAUGCACUUCAGUAUAGUUUUGGCUAUCGGGUGCGCGCAUGUUAAUUUAUUAAAAAUUUUGAAAAUAAAAGAUUGAGCAUGUGUCUAGAAAAGUAUACCAUGUAUAUUAUUAAUUGAUUGUAUUAUUUAAAUUGUAGUUUAAAUUGCACCAAAAAAGUUUCUAAUAGAUGUCUUGAAGGCCGAGACCUUGCAAGGGACAAAUUAUGACAUGUGACAGUGCAAGAUACAAUAUCUUCUCCACAAGCAGGGCCUGCUUGAUCAUCUUGUGAACUCAUUGGAGAAGCCGACUGAUGAUAGUCCUCUUGUAAUCUUAUAUAGUUUUUUCAUCAUUAAACAUAUAUAUUAUCUUUACCACUUUUGUUCGCAUAUGUCAUAAUUUAUUUUGUGCCUAUAACUCGUGCGAUGUAUAUGUGUGUUUUUAUUAGUAUACUCUAUGUGUGCAACAUAAUAACACAUGUCGCGCUAUUUUACAGCGUUGUGCCAAGUUUAUGGUGCUAAAUUAGUCGGCGAGCCAAGGUAUGCUUUAUCGCAGUUAGUACUUGCCUCUAAUCCCGAUAGGCUAGAUGAGACCAGGCUUGUGUGUUGCGCAUAGUUAGCCGAUCUGACCAUAUAAUCUUAGUCAAAGAUUGUGUUUUCGGGCAAAUCUUGGAUGCGACUAGGCCUUUGGGCAAGUCAUUUAGACCAAAUGUGAUCAAUGGCCUGAGCAUUGGGCAUCUCAAGUAAGACUUCUAGUAAGUCAAUUUCGGUCAAGCCGAAAUAGGGUUCUCAUAGUGAAUUGAGAAUUGGCAUGGGUGAUAGUAUAACACUCUAAUAUAUAUAUAUAGGUGAUAGUAUAACACUAAUAUAUAUACAUAUCACUCACUAGGCUCAUAGGAGACGGUAGGUGUUGCAUCUAAACUGUGUGGUGUAUUUUAUUUGCCUAUAAUUAUCUAAAGUCUCGUGGAGCACCUAUGAUACACACCCGACGUGUUGCACGUUCUCCAAGGCCUCACUACCUAAAGUGGCGUCAUCACCCUAGAAUCGUCGUUAUACAAUAUUUCAGUUGGUUUCAUAGGUAACCUUUGUGCCCAGUAGACUCGUCGUUCCUGUUCGAGUUAAAAAAAAAAGAAAAAGAAAGAGGAGAUAUAUAUAUACAAAAAAUAGUAGACUAAUUAGAAUAGGUGUCAUAUUCUACUUAGAUUCGAAUUCUUCAAAAUAUAUAUAUAUAUAUAUAUAUAUAUCGCGAUUAGAAGAUAUGAUAGAUAUCAUGGCCCCGAGGCCAUGAUAUCAGGGCAAAAGCUAGAAUCCCAUAAGUUUAGUUGCUAGGUAUGGCAAUUUUGACUAGAUCCCAUAAAUUUCAAAAAUCUUUAUUUUAAAAUAUAAAAAAGCUGUAUCAAAUGAAAUACUAGUUUGGUAAAGUUUUAACAGUUAAAAGUUACCGAUGAUAUCGCUCAAACCUCAAAUCGCCACAUCUUCUUAUAUUUAAAGAAGUUUAAAACUAUCUUUUAUGAAAUUUGAAAGAUCUAAUUCCAAUUGUAAGAACUAGAACUCAAAUUUUCAGGAUACUGGUUUAAAAUUUCUAAUAAGUUAAAGGUGGCAGGUAAAACUGUAUUAAAUAAAUAAUUCAUUUGCUACAGCUUUUUUUGAUUUUAAAAUAAGGAUUCUUGAAGUAUAUGCCAUCUAGUAUAAAAUCACACACCUAGAAACCAAAAUAGCGAGAAUAUCACCGGAUUAAAUCUAAAAACAUAAACACAGAUAGACAUAUAUAUAUAUAUAUACANNNNNNNNNNNNNNNNNNNNNNNAUUGAAAGAAAAAAAACAGAGAAAAAAGGAAAUAAAAAAAAUGAGGGAAAAGGAAAUAAAAAAUAGAGAGAAAAGGAAAUAAAAGAAAGAGAAGAAAAGUACAGAGGAGGAGAGUCACCUCCCCCGAUUCGUACAGGGGAGGUGAGCUCACCUCCCCUCUUCCCUCUUUCCAAAUAGGUAAAUAAAAAAAAAUAAAAAAAAAGAGAGAAAAAAAGAAAGAAAAAAAGAAAGGGUGCCAACCUCUUUCCUUUAAAAAAAAAAGAAAAAAAAAAGAGAAAAAUGAAGGAAAGUAUUCAAAAUAAAACAAAAAAGAGAAUAAAUUAGUUGAUUGAGGUUUGUUUCCUCAAUAAGUUGAUUUUUAAAUUAUUUCCAAAUGAGAAUCAUUUUUGAAUCCCAUAUAAAAAUAAGAUCCAAACUUCGAAAAGGGGCUACAGGAUUUUUUUUUGAGGAGAAGAAAGAAAGUAGAUUUGAAGGAGAAAAAAAAAAGAACCCGAGAGAAAACAGAAAGGUGAGAAUUUUUUUUUUUUUAACUCUUCCUCUUCCUCUCUCUCUCUCUCUCGUGCACAUGCACGAAGGGGUGAGCCCGUUUUUAGGCUUGCUGGCAGAGGGGGUGCCAUGUGCACCCCCCUCAUUUGUCCAUACCAUAGCAAAAAAAAAAAAAAAAGAAAAAGAAAAAGAAAAAAGACUUUGGCUCUUGCAUUCGACUACGACUUCGACAACAACAAUCACGACGACUUCUAUGACAAUAAGAGAUAUGCAUGCAUACGAAUAGCGUAAGUGUGAUUUUCCUGUCGGUUUGAUCAACCCGACCAUCUUCGUGAUAGGUUUUGAACCGAUCAAAUUUGACAUCAAAUCGUCACUUUCGCCGUACAUAUGCAUCGCUACUCUCUAAACCGUGCGGCCAUCUUCGCGAUAGGCUCGACAUGGUCAAAAUGGUUGAUCGAGCACCGGAUAUUUUACUACGUAAACCGUGCGGCCAUCUCCGCGAUAGGCUCGACAUGCUCAAAAGGGUUGAUCGAGCGGCCAUCUUCGUGAUAGGCUCGACACGAUCAAGCCCGUUUAUUUUACUACGUAAACCGUGCGGCCAUCUUCGCAAUAGGCUUGACAUGGUCGAAAGGGUUAAUCGAGCGGCCAUCUUCGUGAUAGGCUCGACACAGUUAAACCCUGCGUACUUGAACAAAACAUGAUAAAAAAAUAUAUACAAUAAUAAAAAUGAUAAUAAAAAAAAUGGACGAGUACUGUUUUGAUUCACCAUCUUCGUGAUAAGCAUCGCCAUCUUCAUAAGAGGCUCGACGUGAUCAAUUUCGUAUAUUUGGACCAAAAAAAAAGAUAUGAAUAAACAAAUAAAAAAAAUGGAAAAAAAUAACAAAAAAAAAGAGAAAGAAAGAAAGAAAGAAAAGGAGAGCACUCCUCCUUCUCUCUCGGUUCCGUACACAGAGAGGGAGAGGGAGUUGGGUUUCUCUCUUUCUUUCUCUCUGUCUCUCAGUCAAAAAAAAAAAAAAAAAACAAAACCUGAGGAGUUGGGUUUGAAUUAUUUUGAAAAUGGCCCAAUAAACAAUUUCAUGAGCAGUCAAAAAAUAAUAAUAAUGCAGAGCCCAUAUGCAAAUUCGGGUCCAAGGCCCAAAACUUGUAGAGCCCAAAAUUCAGACUACAUACAAGUUCGGACCCAGGAUAUUAAAGCCCGAAAUCCAUCUCAGCCCACAUGUAGAUUCGGGCCCAAAUCAUAUAAGAUCCAAAAUUAUCUCAGUCCAUAUACAGAUUUGGGUCUAAGGCCCAAAAUUUGCAAAGCCUGAAAUCUAUUUCAGCCCNAAAAGAACAAAAAAAAAGGAACAAAAAUUUGAGGAAAUGGAUUUGAGCUAUUUAAUUUGAAAAUGGUUCAAUCCAUCAUUUACUUACGGGCCCAAUGAACAAAUUCCAUAAGCAAUCCAAAAAAAAAAUAAAAUAAAGCACCAAGCCCACAUGUAGAUUUGGGCCCAGAACACUUAAGUCCAAAACUCAUCACAAUCCACAUGCAGACUCAAGCCCAGAACAUCUAAAGUCCAAAACCUAUGUCAGUCCACAUGCAGAUUCGGGUCCAAGGCCCAAAACAUGUAAAGUCUGAAACCCAUCUCAGCCCACAUCCAGAUUUGAGUCCAAAACCAAUGAAAAUCCAUAUAAAUAAACUUCUCAACUCAAAACCCAAAAUCCACAAAUAAAAUCCCAAAACCCAAAGUCCAUAAAUAAGAUCCAAAAUCCAAAGUCCACAAAUAAAAUCCAACCAAAUCUACCAAACUUAUGUCAUCCAAAUGCCUCCAACCCAAACCGAAUUCAUGGGCUUUCCAAAUAGGCCCCUUAUUAUGAAUUAAUUCUAUGAAUUAAAUUUUAAGGGUUUUCCAAAUGAGCCCCCUAUCACGAAUUAAUUAUAUGAAUUAAUUUCAUAAGUUGGUCAAAUGGGCCCUCUUAUUAUAAAUUAAUUUCAUGAACCCAUUUCAUGGGCUCUCCAAAUGGGCCUAUGUCAUGAACCCAAUUCAAUGGGCUUUCUAAAUAGGUCUCCAUCAUAAAUUAAUUUUAUGAACCCAUUUCAUGGGCUCUCUAAAUGGCCCCUAUCAUUAAUUAAUUUCGUCAAUUAAUCUAAUGGACUUUACAAAUGGGCUCCUAGCAUGAAUUAAUUUUAUAAACCAAUUUCAUGAGAUUCAACUUCAACCGACCGCCAUGUCAUUAAACUGAGCAACUCAAUAUAAAACCAACUGUCAUGUCAUUAAACUGAGUACCAAAACUUAAACCGACUGCCAUGUCAUUAAACUGAGCAACUCAAUUUAAAAUCGACCGUCAUGUCGCUAAACUAAGCAUCUCAACUUCAAUCGACCAUCAAGUCACUAAACUGAGCAAAUCAAGUUCAGAUAUGACCGUCAAGUCGUUAAACUCAACAAAUGAAUGUUAAGUCAUUAAACUGAACAUUCGACCGCCAUGUCAUUAAACUGAGCACCAAAACUCAAACCGACCGCCAUGUCAUUAAACUGAGCAUCAAAACUCAAACCGACUGCCAUGUGCUAAACUGAGCACCUCAACUUCAAUCAACUGGCAUGUCGCUAAACUGAGCACCUCAACUUCAAUCGACCACCAUUUCGCUAAACUGAGCACCUCAACCGUCAAGUCGUUAAAUUGGACAAAUGACUAUUAAGUCAUUAAAAUGAACAUUUGACUGCCAAGUCAUUAAAUUGAGGAAUCAAAUCAAACCCUUUUGACUGCCAUGUCGUUAAACUAAGCAAUCAUAUUAAACUCGUUUUGACCGCCAUGUCGUUAAACUGAGCAAACCAAUAUCAAACUCUCUUUGACCGCGAUGUCGUUAAACUGAGCAAAUUAAAAUUAAACUCCUUUUGACCGCCAUGUCGUUAAACUGAGCAAAUUAAAAUUAAACUCAACCUCAACCUAUUUCAAACGACAGCUAUGUCAUUAAACUGAGCAAUCUGAUCCUAAUCGACCAUCAAGUCUAUAAACUGAGUAUUUAGUUUUAUAAAAUCUAUGUACAGUGUGGGAAUGCCCCUGCUUAAGCCAUGUACACGACAAAUCAUAUUAAUAAAAUUUUAUUUGUCUGUUUGGUCUCUUUUAUUAUAAGUAUUUAUAUUCGGUCACUUAAUCGAGGGUUCCUUAACACUGAAAGUGUUAGGUAAUUAACAGCAGACUCUUGUGUCUGUUGGAAGCCAUGAACCUGUAAUCCUGAUUUCAAAAAUAAAAUUUAAACAAAUUUAAUCUGUACCAUGGAUGACCACUCGCCUUAGAAACACCUACGGCGGGGCCGGUUCGUUCGCGGCAGACAGUUCCAUGAUAGAGAGCAGUUGGCUGGUACCCGCUACUUUGAUUUACGCACUGAUGGUCAUGCUUAUAAUUCGGCCGAAUGAGUAUUAUGGAAAAACGAUUAGCUAUAUGUUUCUUUAACAUAGGCAAAACAAGAAGUAUCCAAUGAUUUAUACUUGAUUUGCAUGCACUUUGACCUCUGAGAAGCCUGGGCUUACCAUUUUUUACAGAAGAAAAUGAUGUAUUUUAAAUAACACUAUAUAUAUAGAGAGAGUCCGGCUACUAUGCUCUUAUGAGUAUGAUCGCCUUCGUACUUAUAACUCGUUUUCGAUGAUAGAGCUUCUGAAUCGACAAUCCAUACUGUUAAACAUGAUUUAGAACAUUUAAAACUUUUAGAAAUCAAAUUUCAUAAUUUUUCAACAUUAUUUACCUUAUGAUCGAAAGAUCUUAAAAUUGACAAUUUUUAACAGUCGGUAUGGGAUACUUGCUAAUUCGAUGGUGUAAACAAAUCGAAAUUGGUUGAAUUUUUGAUAGAAAAUUAUAUUCACUAUCUAAAUAAAGAUUCAUAACUCUGAUAUUAAAUUGAAAAAUCCGAUCAUCUAUUUUUAAGAGGUUGUUUAAUUUUGACCAUUCAUUUUAUGCCUGCUUGAUGGACUUUAAAAUAAUUUAGAAAAAUUAUAAAAUUAUUUUCUAAAAGUUUCAUAUGCUUGAUAUCAUAUUUAACGGUAUAGAUCGUCAAUUCGAAAGCUCCAUCAUCAAAAAUAAUUUAUGAGUACGAAAGGAUCUAUACUGAUAAGAGUAUAGUAGCCCUACUAUAUAUAUAUAUAUAUAUAGUGAGGCUACUAUGCUAUCGGAAGCACGGAGCCUUCCGUGCUUCCAGCUUGUUUUCGAUGUUGCGAUUUUCGAAUCGUCGAUCGGCUCCGUUAAACUUGAUCUAGAGUAUUUGGAGUACCUAGAAAAUAAAUUUUAUUAUUUUUCGAUAUCAUUUGCCUAGUGAUCGAAGGGGCGUUCCAAAAUCAACAAAUUUCAAUGGCCAUAGUGAGUCUGUUUGCAAGUUUAACGGUGUAGAAAUAUCCAAAUCACCUAAAAUUUUGAUAGAAAAUUCUUUAUACUAUAUAAAACAAGAUCAAUAUCUUUGAUUUAAAUUUUAAUUUCAUAUUAUUAUGUUUUGUAAGAUUUUUAUUUUCAGCCGUUGAUUUUGAGCCCCUUCGUUCACUAGGCAAAUGAUAUCGAAAAAUCUUAAAAUUUAUUUUCUAGGUACUUCAAAUACUCUAGAUCAAGGUUAACGGGCUGAUCGACGAUUCGAAAGUCGCAACAUCGAAAACGAGCUGAAGCACGGAAGGCUCCGUGCUUCCGAUAGCAUAGUAGCCUCACUCUUUUAUAUAUAAUAUAUAUAGUAUAUAUAUAUAUAUAGAGCUAGUGUAUAUACUAUCUAUAGUACGAGCUCGGUACUAUGUGUUUGUUCGAUCUUAGGCGUCAAAUCAAUGAUCCACACCGUUAAAACUGAUCUAGGGUAUUUAAAGUUUCUAGAAAUAAAAUUUUAUAAUUUUUCGACAUAGUUUACUUUAUGAUCAAACUAUUUCAAAAUUGUCAAUUUUCAAUGGCUAUAUUUACAAGUUUGGAGUUUAACGGUGUAGAAGAAUCUAAAUUUCUUCAAAUUUUGAAGAAAAUACUUUAAACUAUAUAGAUUAAGGUUAAAUAUCUUGAUCUUAAAUUUAAAGUCCUAUACUCAAAUUUUAAAGAUUAUUCAAUUUUCACCGUCCAUUUUGAUAUAAUUUAUUUACUAAGUAAACGAUAUCGAAAAAAACUAAAAUUUUAUUCCUAAGACAUUCAUAUACCCUAGAUCAUAUUUAACGGUGUGGAUCAUUGAUUUGAACGCCCUAAGAUCGAAAACAAACACUAUAGUACCGGAGCUCGGUACUAUAGAUAGUAUAGUAGCCUAAUUCUAUAUAUAUAUAUAUAUAGUAGGUCUUGUGUGCUAUUAGGAGCACGGAGGUCUCUGUGUUCCUAAACUGUUUUCAAUGAUAGAGUUUCUGAAUCGAUGAUCAGCUCCGUUAGACUUGAUCUAGCAUAUUUGAAGUAUCUAGAAAUUAAAUUUUGCGGUUUUUCGAUAUCAUUUACCUAGCAAUCGAAAGGGUUCAAAAUCAACGGCUGAAAAUAAAAAUUUCACAAAAAGUAGUGAUAUAACACUAAAAUUUUCGAUUAGAGAUAUUGAUCUUGCAGUAAAUAGUAUAAAGAAUUUUCCAUCAAAAUUUUAUCUGAUUUGAAUACUUCUACACCGUUAAACUUGCAAACAAUAUACAUUAACCAUUAAAAAUUGUUGAUUUUGAACACUUUCGAUCACUAGGUAAAUGAUAUCGAAAAAUUACAAAAUUUAUUUUCCAAAUAGUUCAAAUAUACUAGAUCAAGUCUAACAGAGCCGAUCGUUGAUUCGGAAGAUCCAUCAUCGAAAAUAGCUUACGAGCACGGAGGCCUCCGUGCUCCUAAUAGCACACAAGACCUACUAUAUAUAUAUACAUAUAUAUAUAUAUAUAUAUAUAUAUACAUAUAUGUAUAUAUAUACAUAUAUAUAGAGUCCAGCUAUAGUGCUUGUAAAAGCACCAAGCAUUUGGUACUUGUAAGUUUUUUACCGUUAAAUCUACUCCUCGGAUCAUUUUCAACCAUUAGAUUAUACUAUUCAACCAACCGCCCACUCAACCCUAGGUGGUCCAUAUCAUCCUAACCGCAUAUCUCUUAAUCUAAUGGUUAAAAAUUUACAAGUACCAAUAACUUGGUACUUUUAAAAGCAUAGGAGCUCAAUUCCAUAUAUAUAUAUACAUAUAUGUAUAUAUAUAUACAUAUAUGUAUAUAUAUAUACAUAUAUGUAUAUAUAUACACAUAUAUGUAUAUAUAUACGAAUUAGGCUGGAAUACUAUUAGCAGUAAAACACUCAUUUUACUAUCAAGUUUUUAACCCUUGGAUGAAAAAUUGUAGGGUUAGGAUGAUAAUAAUCAGUUAGAGUUGAAUGGUCCCCCAGGGUUGAGUGGUCCCCACUGGGUUAUAGUAUUUAAUCCAAUGGUUAAAAAUAAUAAAAAGAGUUGAUCUAAAGGCUAAAAAACUAGUAGCAAUAAUGGGAUUUUGCUACUAAUAGUAGCCCAGUCCAACUCUAUAUAUACACAUAUAUAUAUACAUAUAUGUAUAUAUAUAUAUAUAUACACAUAUAUAUACACACACACACAUAUAUAUACAUAUAUAUACACAUAUGUACACAUAUAUACACAUAUGUACACAUAUAUAUAUAGAGUGAAGCUACUAUGCUAUCGGAAGCACGGAGCCUUCCGUGCUUCCAGCUCGUUUUCGAUAUUGCGACUUUCGAAUCGUCGAUCGGCUCCGUUAAACUUGAUCUAGAGUAUUUGGAGUAUCUAGAAAAUAAAUUUUAUUAUUUUUCGAUAUCAUUUGCCUAGUGAACAAAGGGGCUCAAAAUCAACGGCUGAAAAUAAAAAUCUUACAAAAUAUAAUAAUAUGACAUUAAAAUUUUAAAUCAAAGAUAUUGAUCUUGUUUUAUAUAGUAUAAAGAAUUUUCUAUCAAAAUUUCACGUGAUUUGGAUAUUUCUACACCGUUAAACAAGCAAACGGCUCAUAUAGGCCGUCAAAAAUUGUCGAUUUUACGACACUUUGAUCACCAUGUAAACCAUUAUCAAAAUUUAUGAAAUUUAGUUUCUAGAUAUUUCAAAUACUCUAGAUCAACUUCAACGGCUCCGAUCAUCGAUUCGGAAUCUCGA